RNAcentral lists this ribosomal RNA (495 nucleotides) under uncultured bacterium. RNAcentral's name for it is "partial 16S ribosomal RNA". It matches the Rfam family "Bacterial small subunit ribosomal RNA", at positions 28 to 507 of the family's 1533-position model. The record is from RNAcentral.
GACGAACGCUGGCGGCGUGCCUAAUACAUGCAAGUAGAACGCUGAAGGAGGAGCUUGCUUCUCCGGAUGAGUUGCGAACGGGUGAGUAACGCGUAGGUAACCUGCCUGGUAGCGGGGGAUAACUAUUGGAAACGAUAGCUAAUACCGCAUAACAGCAGAUAUCGCAUGAUAUCUGCUUGAAAGGUGCAAUUGUAUCACUACCAGAUGCACCUGCGUUGUAUUGGCUAGUUGGUGAGGUAACGGCUCACCAAGGCGACGAUACAUAGCCGACCUGAGAGGGGGGUCGGCCACACUGAGACGGUGACACGGCCCAGUGGCCUACGGGAGGCAGCAGUAGGGAAUCUUCAGGAAUGGGCGGGAGUCUGAGCGAGCAACGCCGCGUGAGUGAAGAAGGUUGUCGGAUCGUAAAGGUCUGUUUUAAGAGAAGAACGAGUGUGAGAGUGGAAAGUUCACACUGUGACGGUAUCUUACAAGAAAGGGACGGCUAACUACGUG